RNAcentral lists this ribosomal RNA (516 nucleotides) under Streptomyces alboflavus. RNAcentral describes it as "bacterial SSU rRNA". It matches the Rfam family "Bacterial small subunit ribosomal RNA", at positions 380 to 906 of the family's 1533-position model. Lineage: Bacteria; Bacillati; Actinomycetota; Actinomycetes; Kitasatosporales; Streptomycetaceae. The record is from RNAcentral.
AGCCUGAUGCAGCGACGCCGCGUGAGGGAUGACGGCCUUCGGGUUGUAAACCUCUUUCAGCAGGGAAGAAGCGCAAGUGACGGUACCUGCAGAAGAAGCGCCGGCUAACUACGUGCCAGCAGCCGCGGUAAUACGUAGGGCGCAAGCGUUGUCCGGAAUUAUUGGGCGUAAAGAGCUCGUAGGCGGCUUGUCACGUCGGUUGUGAAAGCCCGGGGCUUAACCCCGGGUCUGCAGUCGAUACGGGCAGGCUAGAGUUCGGUAGGGGAGAUCGGAAUUCCUGGUGUAGCGGUGAAAUGCGCAGAUAUCAGGAGGAACACCGGUGGCGAAGGCGGAUCUCUGGGCCGAUACUGACGCUGAGGAGCGAAAGCGUGGGGAGCGAACAGGAUUAGAUACCCUGGUAGUCCACGCCGUAAACGGUGGGCACUAGGUGUGGGCAACAUUCCACGUUGUCCGUGCCGCAGCUAACGCAUUAAGUGCCCCGCCUGGGGAGUACGGCCGCAAGGCUAAAACUCAAAG